UUACACAUUUGGAUAUAAAUUAUAAGUUAUUUGGUAAAUUUAUUUAUUCUUUAAGUUCAAUUUUAAAAGUUUUCAAUUUCUUGGUUUACACGGCCUACCGGGGUCUGAUUGGAGGGAAGGAAACUUGACCCGCCCUCUCCUAGCAUGAGGACACACGACAUGGAACACCAGAGAACUAAGAAGCAAGUUCACAAAGUGAAAACAAAGCUGUUGUAUCUCUGAAAGUGUUUAAAAAUAAAAGCAGAAGUGGCCGAGGCGACAGCCAACACGCUUGAUAAAGUUGAACUUCUUGGCUGGAUUUUUGUCUUUGGAUACCUUUUGAAUCUCCCUGGAGUUGGGCCCCGGAUUUCCUCCUUUGCCUAGGAGGUGGUGCACCCAUCCAUCUACCUGAGAAGGAAUCCACCUAUUCCUUCUCUUCUGUUGGAGAAGUUAUCCGCUGUGGUAGGACUAACAUAGAUCACAAACUGUUGUUGACUAAUACCAUUGGGUGCAGCCACAAAGAAACAACUGCUCUAAGCUCUCCAAGGCAGGAGCAGGAAUCCCAAAUUAUCCAGGGGGUUAGGGGGCGCAGUGCCCCUGAGCCCCGAGCCCCAUAGCAGAGGUAACGUAUUCAAUGGCCUGGGGCGAGUGGAGGAGAGGAGCGGCCCUGCUGCAUACUGAUGGCAGGGAGAGAAGCCAGUAAUUGGAGCUGCAGAGGAGAGGGGAGAGGGGGGCAAGCACUGGGAGAUGAUGGCUUUGUUUUCUCUCUUCCUGUCUGUGCUGCUCAAACUCCUCCUCCCAGGCCUCGCUCUCCCUCACACUCACUAAGUAGAGAUAUGGAGAAAUUGAA
This is a long non-coding RNA of Pundamilia nyererei, 829 nucleotides long. RefSeq lists it as uncharacterized. The transcript has 3 exons. The record is from RefSeq and is a predicted model, not a curated record. Lineage: Eukaryota; Metazoa; Chordata; Actinopteri; Cichliformes; Cichlidae.